AAUAGAUACCCAGGUAGUCCACGCCGUAAACGAUGAGUGCUAAGUGUUAGAGGGUUUCCGCCCUUUAGUGCUGAAGUUAACGCAUUAAGCACUCCGCCUGGGGAGUACGGCCGCAAGGCUGAAACUCAAAGGAAUUGACGGGGGCCCGCACAAGCGGUGGAGCAUGUGGUUUAAUUCGAAGCAACGCGAAGAACCUUACCAGGUCUUGACAUCCUCUGAAAACCCCUAGAAAUAGGGCUUCUCCUUCGGGGAGCAGAGUGACAGGUGGUGCAUGGUUGUCGUCAGCUCGUGUCGUGAGAUGUUGGGUUAAGUCCCGCAACGAGCGCAACCCUUGAUCUUAGUUGCCAUCAUUUAGUUGGGCACUCUAAGGUGACUGCCGGUGACAAACCGGAGGAAGGUGGGGAUGACGUCAAAUCAUCAUGCCCCUUAUGACCUGGGCUACACACGUGCUACAAUGGACGGUACAAAGAGCUGCAAGCCGCGAGGUGGAGCUAAUCUCAUAAAACCCGUUCUCGAGUUCGGAUUGUAGGCUGCAACUCCG
Molecule: ribosomal RNA, 541 nt
Filed under: uncultured bacterium
Lineage: Bacteria
Description: bacterial SSU rRNA
Rfam family: Bacterial small subunit ribosomal RNA
Source: RNAcentral